UACGUAGGGGGCAAGCGUUAUCCGGAUUUACUGGGUGUAAAGGGAGCGUAGACGGCGCGGCAAGUCUGAAGUGAAAGGCAGGGGCUUAACCCCUGAACUGCUUUGGAAACUGCCAUGCUAGAGUGCUGGAGAGGUAAGUGGAAUUCCUAGUGUAGCGGUGAAAUGCGUAGAUAUUAGGAGGAACACCAGUGGCGAAGGCGGCCUGCUGGGCUUUUACUGACGCUGAGGCUCGAAAGUGUGGGGAGCAAACAGG
This 253-nucleotide ribosomal RNA is filed under the name uncultured Lachnospiraceae bacterium. RNAcentral's name for it is "partial 16S ribosomal RNA". It matches the Rfam family "Bacterial small subunit ribosomal RNA", at positions 524 to 776 of the family's 1533-position model. Lineage: Bacteria; Bacillati; Bacillota; Clostridia; Lachnospirales; Lachnospiraceae. The record is from RNAcentral.